This 242-nucleotide long non-coding RNA is filed under the name Phaseolus vulgaris (common bean). RNAcentral's name for it is "long non-coding RNA (PVUL_LNC000334)". The record is from RNAcentral. Lineage: Eukaryota; Viridiplantae; Streptophyta; Magnoliopsida; Fabales; Fabaceae.
UCACUUUGGCUUUUUGGAGAGGUAGGGGAACUGGACCUUGAGGAUUGGGAACUAUGGUCACUCACUACCACCCCCCCCCCCCUUUACCAUCAUUGUUCUUUUGGAUGGACAAUUUGUAGCUUUGUGCCCAAAACCUAAGCAUUUUAAACAUUUUUUGUUUGAGGUUUUGGUGGGUAACUUAGGGGUAGAGGUGGAAGGUCUAAAAACUCUAUGGUUAGAAGUGGUUACUGUUGAAAAAUUGG